UUGCUUAGGCAUUCCUGGAGCUCCCCAAGGCCGCAUUUGUUGGGGCACAGUGGGUAUAAGAAGUAAACUACAGCCAUUAUGUGUUUUAACAUCUGGUUGUUCUAUACUUCGGCCCAGUAGGUCUUGUCUCUUAUGACUUUUAUUCUACUUCAAAAUUCACAUGCAUAUCGUUUUUCCAAAUCCUGCACUCCCGACCAUGGCAUUUCUACCAAUCUUCAACAUUCGCUCUAUUCGACCGAAUUCUCUCCAGGGUCUGGAAUUCUUAUACGUUCCAUUGCAUUAUAGUGUGCACGUUACUAAGACUUUAAUUUCGGCCAUCGGUAACUUCUUGUACCGCCUGUGGUCGCCACCCUUGAGGAGAAGUUGUUGAUCCCAAGUUCAUGCUGCAUUUUGUAAGAAUGGUAUUUUAAAAUUUCUUUAACUGAUUUAUUAUAGUGCCACAGUUGCAGAAAAGCCUUAGCAAAGAAGAGGUUAAGGAGGUUAAAGCAGCCGCGGAUGCAGCAGAUGAAGAAGAUGUUAGCCCAAGCGAAUGCAGAAGUAAAGUACGAAGACGACA
This is an RNA transcript of Drosophila santomea, 556 nucleotides long. RefSeq lists it as uncharacterized. The transcript is spliced from 2 exons. NCBI's taxonomy places the organism in Eukaryota, Metazoa, Arthropoda, Insecta, Diptera, Drosophilidae. The record is from RefSeq and is a predicted model, not a curated record.